RNAcentral lists this ribosomal RNA (356 nucleotides) under uncultured Anoxybacillus sp. RNAcentral describes it as "bacterial SSU rRNA". It matches the Rfam family "Bacterial small subunit ribosomal RNA", at positions 1025 to 1382 of the family's 1533-position model. Lineage: Bacteria; Bacillati; Bacillota; Bacilli; Caryophanales; Anoxybacillaceae. The record is from RNAcentral.
ACGAGGGUGACAGGUGGUGCAUGGUUGUCGUCGGCUCGUGUCGUGAGAUGUUGGGUUAAGUCCCGCAACGAGCGCAACCCUCGACCUUAGUUGCCAGCAUUCAGUUGGGCACUCUAAGGUGACUGCCGGCUAAAAGUCGGAGGAAGGUGGGGAUGACGUCAAAUCAUCAUGCCCCUUAUGACCUGGGCUACACACGUGCUACAAUGGGCGGUACAAAGGGUCGCGAACCCGCGAGGGGGAGCCAAUCCCAAAAAGCCGCUCUCAGUUCGGAUUGCAGGCUGCAACUCGCCUGCAUGAAGCCGGAAUCGCUAGUAAUCGCGGAUCAGCAUGCCGCGGUGAAUACGUUCCCGGGCCUU